This 2909-nucleotide ribosomal RNA is filed under the name Larcopyle buetschlii. RNAcentral's name for it is "eukaryotic LSU rRNA". It matches the Rfam family "Eukaryotic large subunit ribosomal RNA", at positions 1 to 2941 of the family's 3401-position model. Lineage: Eukaryota; Polycystinea; Spumellaria; Litheliidae. The record is from RNAcentral.
AACUGAACUCAGGAAGAAGACCCGCCGAAUUUAAACAUAUUACUAAGCGGAGGAAAAGAAACUAACAAGGAUUCCCCUAGUAACGGCGAGUGAAGUGGGAUCAGCUCAAUAUGAAAAGCUGCCGCCUUUGGCGGUCGCCUUGUAACCUUGCGGUGGGGCAAUUGCGGGGAGACGGGUGCAAUUCGUCGUUGAGAUAGCGAGUCGCAGAGGGUAACAACCCCGUGCUGUCCGACUCUCCCCGAACAAGAGCCUCCCGUCGUGAGUCGUGUUGCUUGGGACUGCAGCGCUAAUCAGGAGGUAAUGUCCUUCUAAGGCUAAAUAUUUGCGGGAGACCGAUAGCGAACAAGUACCGUGAGGGAAAGAUGAAAAGAACUUUGGAAAGAAAGUGAAAGAGUACGUGAAAUUGUUGGAAGCAAGCGAAUCAGUCUGUCCCGGCGUUGGGGAUUUUUCUCCGCGCCGACGCAGGAUCGUCUCGGGCCCCGCUACAAUGCGCGCCAUGCGGCUUCGCGCCCUGGCUGUCGUCCGGCGGGCCCCGGGUUGAGGAACGCGUCGUAGCCUGCACCGUCAGGUGCCCUACGGCCAUGAUCCUGCCUACUGGACUGAUCCGACCCGUCUUGAAACACGGACCAAGGAGUCUGCCAUGUGUGCGAGUAUUAGGGUGGUAAACCCCGAUGCGAAGAGAAAUCGAGAUUGUCUGAUCCCUUCUGGGGUGCACGACAGGCAGAGCGUUGUAAUUUCUGUUCAGUGCCUAGCAGGAGCAUUCAUGCCGGGACCCGAAAGAUGGUGAAUUAUGCUUGUGCAGGGUGAAUUCGGGGGAAACCCCGAUGGAAGCUCGAAGCGAUACUGACGUGCAAAUCGUUCGUCCGACAUGAGUAUAGGGGCGAAAGACUAAUCGAACCAUCUAGUAGCUGGUUCCCUCCGAAGUUUCCCCCAGGAUAGCUGGAAUUCACUGUGAGUUUUAUCAGGUAAAGCGAAUGAUUAGAGGACUUGGGACAGAAACUGUCUCAGCCUAUUCUCAAACUUUAAAUGGGUGAGAGGCAAGGGUUGCUUAAUUGAACUUUUGCGUUGAAUCAGGGUUCUUAGUGGGCCAUUUUUGGUAAGCAGAACUGGCGAUGUGGGAUGCACCAGACGCUUGGUUGAGGGACCUAAGUACUCGCUCAUUCAGAUACCACAAAGGGUGUUGAUUCAUUCAGACAGCAGGACGGUGGUCAUGGAAGUCGAAAUUCGCUAAGGAGUGUGUAACAACUCACCUGCCGAAUGAAUUAGCCCCGAAAAUGGAUGGCGCUCAAGCGAGUCCCCGAAACCGGGCCAUUAGGGUAGAUGUGAAGCCUUAAUGAGUAGGAGGGCGCAGCGGUCGCAGCGAAGGCGCGGGCGCGAGCCCCGCUUUGAGCGGCCGUUGGUGCAGAUCUUGGUGUUAGUAGCAAAUAUUCAAAUGAAAAUUUUGAAGACUGAAGUGGAGAAAGGUUUCACGUCAACAUUAUUUGGACGUGAGUGACUCGGUCCUAAGGUAUUCCGUACGGGAUUCAGAAGGCGCGAUUUAUCGCGCCAUCGGCCAAAAGGGCAAUUGGUUAAAAUUCCGAUAGCCGGACACGGUGCUGAGCGGUGACGCGUUUCUAACCUGGCGACGGUUGCCCGAACCCCGGGAAGAGUUAUCUUUUCUUUUUGACAACGAACACGCGUCUGAAACGGGAUUGUCUCUAGAUGGACGGGUGUUCGUGGCAGAGCGGCUGACUUCCUCAGCUGUCCGGUGCGUUCGGGAAGCCCCUUGAAAAGCCAGGGGCGUGGUUUGCACUCGGUCCGGGCCGUACUCAUAACCGCAUCAGGUCUCCAAGGUUAAAAGCCUCUGGUCAAUAGAAUAAUGUAGGUAAGGGAAGUCGGCAAAUUGGUUCCGUAAGUUCGCGAUGUGGGAUGGCUCGUCAGACUGGAUGGAAGAGGCUCGGUCCGCGAAGGUGGCUAGCCUACAGGACUGGCUAGGUUCCCCUCGGGGGGCCCGGCCGGGCUUGUUCGGUAGGCUGCUGGAGGGGUCGAGACAGUGCCGGGGCCUUUUGGACCCGGUUACAUUCUCGCCAUAACAAGCAGUUAAUGAUGAACUCGUAGUGACCACAGGAACCCGACUGUUUAAUUAAAACAAAGCAUUGCGAUGGUCGUAAGUCGAUGUUGACGCAAUGUGAUUUCUGCCCAGUGCCAUGAAUGUCAAAGUGAUGUGAUUUAACCAAGCGCUGGUAAACGGCGGGAGUAACUAUGACUCUCUUAAGGUAGCCAAAUGCCUCGUCAUCUAAUUAGUGACGCGCAUGAAUGGAUCAACGAGGUUCCUACUGUCCCUAUCUACUAUCUAGCGAAACCACAGCUAAGGGAACGGGCUUGGGAGUAACGGCGGGGAAAGAAGACCCUGUUGAGCUUGACUUUAGUCUGACAUUGUGAAAUGACCUGAUUGGUGCAGCAUAAGUGGGAGCGCAAGCAACAGUGAGACACCACUACUUUCAGCGUUGUUUUACUUACUCGGUUAGUAACCACGGGAUGCUAUAUCCCAUUUCUAGUGUUGAGGCCUUCGGNCUGAGGUUCGUCGUGGACACUGUCAGGUGGGGAGUUUGGCUGGGGCGGCACAUCUGUUAAAUGAUAACACAGGUGACCCAAGAUCAGCUCAGAGCGAACGGAAAUCGCUCGUUGAGUGUAAGGGCAAAAGCUGAUUUGACUUUCCGUUUCAGUAGAUCGGGAAGCAGUGAAAGCUCAGGCUUAGCGAUCCUUUAGAUCCUCGGACAUUGAGGCUAGAGGUGUCAGAAAAGUUACCACAGGGAUAACUGGCUUGUGGCAGCCAAGCGUUCAUAGCGACGUUGCUUUUUGAUUCUUCGAUGUCGGCUCUUCCUACCCCUUUCUCGCAUAAGGGAAAAAAGGUAAGAUGUCCCCCCCCC